This 499-nucleotide ribosomal RNA is filed under the name uncultured bacterium. RNAcentral's name for it is "partial 16S ribosomal RNA". It matches the Rfam family "Bacterial small subunit ribosomal RNA", at positions 28 to 507 of the family's 1533-position model. The record is from RNAcentral.
GAUGAACGCUGGCGGCGUGCCUAAUACAUGCAAGUCGAGCGAACAGACGAGAGUGCUUGCACUCUCUGACGUUAGCGGCGGACGGGUGAGUAACACGUGGGUAACCUACCUAUAAGACUGGGAUAACUUCGGGAAACCGGAGCUAAUACCGGAUAAUAUUUAGCUUCGCAUGAAGCAAUAGUGAAAGACGGUUCUGCUGUCACUUAUAGAUGGACCCGCGGUGUAUUAGCUAGUUGGUGAGGUGACGGCUCACCAAGGCAACGAUACAUAGCCGACCUGAGAGGGUGAUCGGCCACACUGGGACUGAGGCACGGCCCAGACUCCUACGGGAGGCAGCAGUAGGGAAUCUUCCGCAAUGGACGAAAGUCUGACGGAGCAAUGCCGCGUGAGUGAAGAAGGUUUUCGGAUCGUAAAACUCUGUUGUAAGGGAAGAACAAGUACGUUAGUAACUGAACGUACCUUGACGGUACCUUACCAGAAAGCCACGGCUAACUACGUG